UGAAGCUGGAUUCGCUAGUAAUCGCGCAUCAGCCACGGCGCGGUGAAUACGUUCCCGGGCCUUGUACACACCGCCCGUCACACCAUGAGAGUUUGUAACACCCAAAGCCGGUGGGGUAACCUUUUGGAGCCAGCCGUCUAAGGUGGGACAGAUGAUUGGGGUGAAGUCGUAACAAGGUACC
RNAcentral lists this ribosomal RNA (181 nucleotides) under uncultured bacterium. RNAcentral's name for it is "partial 16S ribosomal RNA". It matches the Rfam family "Bacterial small subunit ribosomal RNA", at positions 1321 to 1500 of the family's 1533-position model. The record is from RNAcentral.